This is a non-coding RNA of Oryza sativa Japonica Group (Japanese rice), 1475 nucleotides long. NCBI's taxonomy places the organism in Eukaryota, Viridiplantae, Streptophyta, Magnoliopsida, Poales, Poaceae. The record is from RefSeq and is a predicted model, not a curated record.
AUAACUCGCGCGCCACGCGCGGGAGCACGCGUCGAGCACGGGAGAGGGCGAGCUGCUCCUCCAUUCCUCCGCCGGCGACGCCAUAUAAGCCGACCAGCCGACCAACCUUCUCUCCCUCUUGCCCUUGUCUCGUUUCGCGGAAGAACCGAGGCAUCUCGUCUCGGGUUCGCUGGGAACGGAGGUGCCAUCUUCGGCGCCGGCGAGAGAAGUCCUCGACGCCAUCGACGCCAAUCUCCGGGAACGCGACCGCGUCAUUACUCGGAACGCCGCCGCGCUCUGGGCACCGUCGCAUCGCUGUUGCUCGUCGCCCGGCUUCCACAGUCCACCAUUGGUCAGGCCAUCUCGCCAACAUCUUCACCAGCACCCAUUGACCAAGAACCCCGAAGGAAUCGGCACGAGGUGGACCACGGUGGGAGAUCCCCUUCUUCUUCCCCAACUCCGACCGCCGACGCCAUUUCUCUCUUCCUCUUUCUCUGAUCAAGGCCGGAGGAGCACUGCCGACGACGACCGUAGCAGCCGCGCCGUCGCCGAACCAGCACACCGUCGCCAAGACUUCGCCGAGCCGCGUUCGCUGCUUGCCCAUGGCUGGUUCUUGGAAUCGUUGAGCUGAGCUGGAGUUUUUAUUCGAUGGAGUGGAGUUUGCCUUUGCUGCUCUUCGACUCUUAUAUAGAGAAGACCAGUUUACUUGAUGCAGGAAACAAAGGCCAGGAAUGAUCAAGGGCCUGUUGCUGAUCACGUUGCGCAUCGUACCACAUGGAGAACCAUCCGAAAAACCUCAGAACACAAAGCAUCUAUGAUUUUCUCCAUCGAGUUUGCUGCCCCAAUCACAUUUUGGCCCUUUAGUUCAAAGUUGUUCAUUUGCUCGGAAAGGAGACCACAUAUCCAUUCAGUAUGAGAUACCAAGGAAGCCCACUAAGAUGAUAGUUGGCAACAACCUAGCCAAAAGAACCUAAGGUGGCUUUUAAAUUUUGCCAACAUAUUGUGUCUGCUUUUGAUUUGGGCGUAGUAGUUUUAGUUGGUGACCGUAGUGUCGUGUUUUCUUAGAAUAAGCUCUCACAUUAGUUGGUGGCUUGGUGCUAUCAUGAGAAUGGUCAAUGUUCCUCACUCCUGAUUAGAUUUAGGUGUUGUUUCUGUUGGUGAUGACAAGUGCAACAAUUACUCAAGGCCUGUCAUUCUCUCCUGCAGGUACAAAGCUUUCAUGUUUGCAGGACCAAAGCAACCAUUUAUGCUGUUGUGCUUCUGUUGUCGAUUGAACUAGGAUGAGAAGCUUGCACAUGGACUUAUAAAAGAUGAAGUCCUGUAUGAACGGGCUCUUACUACAAAGAGGCAGACAUGUUCUCUUUUCUUUUUCUUUGUUCUGCAUAUUAGUACUCUGAAAUAAUGUACCGUGUAUACAUUGUUUCCUUAAUCUUUCCUGUAAUAUUUAUUGUUCUCUCUAUUUCCUUUUUGUUGCCGCGCAGCGUAGCGCGUGAACC